RNAcentral lists this ribosomal RNA (1241 nucleotides) under Microbacterium sp. X2A. RNAcentral describes it as "bacterial SSU rRNA". It matches the Rfam family "Bacterial small subunit ribosomal RNA", at positions 169 to 1421 of the family's 1533-position model. Lineage: Bacteria; Bacillati; Actinomycetota; Actinomycetes; Micrococcales; Microbacteriaceae. The record is from RNAcentral.
CUGGAUAUGUCCCAUCACCGCAUGGUGUGUGGGUGGAAAGAUUUUUCGGUUGGGGAUGGGCUCGCGGCCUAUCAGCUUGUUGGUGAGGUAAUGGCUCACCAAGGCGUCGACGGGUAGCCGGCCUGAGAGGGUGACCGGCCACACUGGGACUGAGACACGGCCCAGACUCCUACGGGAGGCAGCAGUGGGGAAUAUUGCACAAUGGGCGGAAGCCUGAUGCAGCAACGCCGCGUGAGGGAUGACGGCCUUCGGGUUGUAAACCUCUUUUAGCAGGGAAGAAGCGAGAGUGACGGUACCUGCAGAAAAAGCGCCGGCUAACUACGUGCCAGCAGCCGCGGUAAUACGUAGGGCGCAAGCGUUAUCCGGAAUUAUUGGGCGUAAAGAGCUCGUAGGCGGUUUGUCGCGUCUGCUGUGAAAUCCCGAGGCUCAACCUCGGGCUUGCAGUGGGUACGGGCAGACUAGAGUGCGGUAGGGGAGAUUGGAAUUCCUGGUGUAGCGGUGGAAUGCGCAGAUAUCAGGAGGAACACCGAUGGCGAAGGCAGAUCUCUGGGCCGUAACUGACGCUGAGGAGCGAAAGGGUGGGGAGCAAACAGGCUUAGAUACCCUGGUAGUCCACCCCGUAAACGUUGGGAACUAGUUGUGGGGUCCUUUCCACGGAUUCCGUGACGCAGCUAACGCAUUAAGUUCCCCGCCUGGGGAGUACGGCCGCAAGGCUAAAACUCAAAGGAAUUGACGGGGACCCGCACAAGCGGCGGAGCAUGCGGAUUAAUUCGAUGCAACGCGAAGAACCUUACCAAGGCUUGACAUACACGAGAACGGGCCAGAAAUGGUCAACUCUUUGGACACUCGUGAACAGUUGGUGCAUGGUUGUCGUCAGCUCGUGUCGUGAGAUGUUGGGUUAAGUCCCGCAACGAGCGCAACCCUCGUUCUAUGUUGCCAGCACGUAAUGGUGGGAACUCAUGGGAUACUGCCGGGGUCAACUCGGAGGAAGGUGGGGAUGACGUCAAAUCAUCAUGCCCCUUAUGUCUUGGGCUUCACGCAUGCUACAAUGGCCGGUACAAUGGGCUGCAAUACCGUGAGGUGGAGCGAAUCCCAAAAAGCCGGUCCCAGUUCGGAUUGAGGUCUGCAACUCGACCUCAUGAAGUCGGAGUCGCUAGUAAUCGCAGAUCAGCAACGCUGCGGUGAAUACGUUCCCGGGUCUUGUACACACCGCCCGUCAAGUCAUGAAAGUCGGUAACACC